Molecule: unclassified non-coding RNA, 588 nt
Filed under: Hevea brasiliensis (rubber tree)
Lineage: Eukaryota; Viridiplantae; Streptophyta; Magnoliopsida; Malpighiales; Euphorbiaceae
Source: RNAcentral
AAUAAUAAUAAUAAUAAUAAUGAGUGCUGCACUUGACAUGAUACUACCGUUUUAAACUUGUUUGACAUAUUCAAUUCCUUAAGAAUUUAUAAUAUUUUUUUUUUAACAAUUUUAGAUAACCAACAAAUUUCAAUCAAUCUUUGCCGCUCAGUUUUCCACACCUUCUGAUAUCAUGAUUUAUAAUAAUGGGACGAAAAGAAAGAAAGAAAGAGAAAGGUAAGCGACAACCAGAAGAGAAAAACGGAGAAAAAAAAUUCCAUAAAUUGAAGAAACGCCCAUUGAGAGAAAAACCAAAUGGGGACUCUUCAGAGAAAGAUUCAUAUCUGUAAUUCUGAGGCGGGUCUAAACAGCGCUGAGGUCAAACGCGACAAAAGGGCACCUAGUGAAACAAAGAAGAUUCAAUAACAUAAGAAGCCAAGAAAUGGAAAGAAUGAAAGAGAGGAAAAAUCUAACCGUUAGACGAUAAGAAAAUCACUGUUUGAAAUUGACGUAGAUUGCAAGAAAAAGAAGAUGGACGCACGCGAGAGAGAUUUAGAGCUCAACGUGAGGCAUGAGGCACCAUGCUUUUCAUUUUAAUGUUUGGUUGGG